UGCCCAAGAGACUGGGAUAACACCUGGAAACAGAUGCUAAUACCGGAUAACAACACUAGACGCAUGUCUUAGAGUUUUAAAAGAUGGUUCUGUUAUCACUCUUGGAUGGGACCUGCGGUGCAUUAGCUAAUUGGUAAGGGCAACGGCUUACCAAGGCAAUGAUGCAUAGCCGAGUUGAGAGACUGAUCGGCCACAUUGGGACUGAGACACGGCCCAAACUCCUACGGGAGGCAGCAGUAGGGGAAUCUUCCACAAUGGACACAAGUCUGAUGGAGCAACGCCGCGUGAGUGAAGAAGGGUUUCGGCUCGUAAAGCUCUGUUGGUAGUGAAGAAAGAUAGAGGUAGUAACUGGUCCUUUAUUUGACGGUAAUUACUUAGAAAAGUCACGGGCUAACUACGUGCCCAGCAGCCGCGGGUAAAUA
This 422-nucleotide ribosomal RNA is filed under the name uncultured Lactobacillus sp. Its description in RNAcentral is "bacterial SSU rRNA". It matches the Rfam family "Bacterial small subunit ribosomal RNA", at positions 127 to 525 of the family's 1533-position model. Lineage: Bacteria; Bacillati; Bacillota; Bacilli; Lactobacillales; Lactobacillaceae. The record is from RNAcentral.